AUGGAGGUCGGCGGCGAGGAGUUCGCGGUCGGCGUGGUGAUCUCCGCGAAGACCACCCUCGGGGAGGAGUUCGAGGGCCAGAUCGUCUCCUUCGACCGCCCGAGCAACCUCCUCGUCAUCCAGGAGGGCGUGGGCAGGGCGGAGAGGGGCGAGCGGCGGAACGUGAGGGUGCUCAAGGCCAACUACAUCCAGGAGUUCUCCGUCGUCGGCAAGUACGACGACCCGCUCGACCCGGCUGGCUGUGUGCUCGACCUUGCCGCCAUCCACGCCAGGGAGGAGGCCGCCCUCAGGCAAGCUGAGAUUGAAGCUGAGAGAAUUGGUGUUGGUGUCACCCCAGAAGCUCAAAGAUUAUUUGAUGCAUUGUCGAAGACGCUUCCAGUUCAUUGGGACAAGACCGACAUUGUUGUAAUGAAGGAGGUUCGUGUAUGCAGUCCAUACCUGCCUGAAAAUGUCAGCGGCGGAACAUCAGCUGCUAAUGAACGGGUUAAGAAAGUGCUGGACUUUGAAAGGAAAAGACAACAUGUGCGUGUACCUGGCCAAUUCUAA
This 546-nucleotide ribosomal RNA is filed under the name Triticum aestivum (bread wheat). RNAcentral describes it as "partial small subunit ribosomal RNA". The record is from RNAcentral. Lineage: Eukaryota; Viridiplantae; Streptophyta; Magnoliopsida; Poales; Poaceae.